Ochotona curzoniae (black-lipped pika) is the source of this 102-nucleotide small nuclear RNA. The record is from RefSeq and is a predicted model, not a curated record. Lineage: Eukaryota; Metazoa; Chordata; Mammalia; Lagomorpha; Ochotonidae.
UUGCUUCAGUAGCAAAUAUGCUAGAAUUGGAAUGAUAUAGAAAACAUCAGCAUGGUCCCUGCACAAGAUGAUUCACAGAUUUGUAAAGCACUUCAUAUUUUA